AUGGACUAUUCACGACCUUCCAGCACUAGCUUCAGUAUUUGGGUAUUCUACAAUGGGCCACCAAAACAACUAUCUGGGAAAGGCAUUUUUGAAUUGCUGCAGAAGUUAGAUCAUCUCCAGGGCUUCAAAUACGGAAAACAUCCUGGAAAUAAGAAAAAGAAGGCAUCUUCAAAGGACAUGCCAGGGAAAAAUUUCACAAAGAUGAGCAUCUUGUUUGAGCUACCAUAUUGGAAGGAUCUGAAAUUGCCACACAAUCUUGAUGUCAUGCACAUUGAAAAGAACAUUUGUGAGAGCUUAUUUGGGACUUUAUUAAACAUAGAUGGCAAGUCCAAGGACACACUUAAGACCCGCAAGGACUUAGAAGACAUGAAUAUCAGAGCAGAUCUACACUUGAAUGAUACGGGAAGUAGCAUAGAAAAGCAUCAUGCAUGGUACACAUUAACCAGAGAUGAGAAACUUGAGUUUCUGCAAUUCCUAGAAUCUAUUUGCUUCCCAGAUGGAUUUGCUGCAAAUAUAUCAAAAGGUAUAAGUAAAGAUGGGAAAAUAACUGGGCUGAAGACACACGACUACCAUAUUCUUCUUCAGAGAAUACUCCUGAUUGGAAUGCGAGGAUUUUUGCACAAAGAUAUCUGUGAUGCACUUCUGCAGCUUGGUAGUUUUUUCCGCCAAUUAUGCUCCAAGACAUUGAAGCUGGAUAUCUUGGAUAAGUUGGAACAACAAAUAGUAAUUGUAUUGUGCAAACUAGAAAUGAUUCUCCCACCUGCAUUCUUUGAUAUUAGCGUGCACUUAGCAGUGCAUCUACCACAGCAAGCAAGGCUUGGAGGUCCUGUACAAUACAGAUGGAUGUUCUUCAUUGAAAGGUUCCUUGGUACUUUGAAAGGCAUGGUGAGCAAUAGGGCACACCCAGAGGGUUCAAUUGCUAAAGCUUAUGUUAUGAAGGAGUGCUCAACAUGCUGCUCCAUGUAUCUACAUGGAAUUGAGACAAGGUUCAAUAGACAAGAGCGGAAUUUUGAUGGGGAGAGACAACCACUUGAUCGUUUCUCGGUAUUCUCAACUAGUUUCCGUGCUUUUGGCCAUAGGGAUGACCUUAUGUUAACACAAGAUCAGUAUGAUUCUCUGUCUUGGUAUGUGCUAAAUAAUUGUGAGGAACUACAAGAAUACCUAUAUGAGCAUGAGGAUGCCCUACUGGCUGAAGGUGCGGAUAAUAUUGAAAAUAGGCAACAUGAACAGUUUGGUUCAUGGCUGCGCCAAAGAGUGAUCAAUCUGCGCAACCAAGGAGCAUCCCUAGUGUCUGACUGUUUGUAUGCGUUGGCAAUUGGACCGCAUAAGAGAGUACACAAAUUCUUAGGAUGCAUUGUUGGUGGUGUUAGAUUCUUGACAAAGGAGCGUGAAGAUGGUCGUAAAAGUCAGAAUAGUGGUGUGUGCACAGAGGGCCAACAUAAGGGGCAAAAUAUCACAUAUUAUGGUAUUCUUAAAAAUAUAUAUGUCCUGAAUUACCCCAAUGAUCGACAUGUUGCUUUAUUUGAGUGUGAAUGGUAUGAUUUAGAGAGUAACAAGCCUGUGAGGAUCGAUGACGACUUUGUUAGUGUUAAUAUAGGAAGCAAGUGGUACCAAGAUGACUCCUUUGUACUAGCUAGUCAAGUGAGCCAAGUCUUCUAUGUACGUGAUACAAAAUUGAAGGGAGAUUGGCUAGUUGUGCAGAAGGCUCCGCAUCGCCAUCUUUUCGAUCCAGAGGUUUGGAAUCAAGUCAAUGAAGAUGAUGCUAGCGAAGAUAUUGCAUUUCAAGAGGAGGAAGCUACCAAUGUUUCCAUCGAUGAAACUUUUGAAGGCAAUGUCUCGUGUCGACAUGAUGUUGCACCAGAAAUUGUUACUGAUCCAAAAGAGUUGGCAUCUUUGAAGGAGAGCCAUGUCUCUCAGGAUAAUUUUGAAGAGGAACCAGAGUAG
Molecule: ribosomal RNA, 1944 nt
Filed under: Triticum aestivum (bread wheat)
Lineage: Eukaryota; Viridiplantae; Streptophyta; Magnoliopsida; Poales; Poaceae
Description: partial small subunit ribosomal RNA
Source: RNAcentral